This 305-nucleotide long non-coding RNA is filed under the name Homo sapiens (human). RNAcentral's name for it is "HSALNT0265364". The record is from RNAcentral. Lineage: Eukaryota; Metazoa; Chordata; Mammalia; Primates; Hominidae.
ACGUGCCAUUUGGGAUCCCUUGGAAUCUUCAUGUACAGAACUGGUUGCUGCCUCGUUGAGUCGGUGGGGACAGAAUAGCUCCUGGUUGACAGCAUGGGUUGUGCAGAAGGACGGAUCCUGCAGGCAUCAAUAUCUGGCUUUGAGUGGCACAAAGAAAUAAAGGAAUGUGGAUUCAGACCUCACUGGGAUGCUUGGCAAUUCUAAUUCUACCCCAGACUGCAAAUGGACACACAACUGUUGUGACUUUUGUUGAAGAGGAGAAGGAUGGGACAGAAGCUGGAUUCAGAAGCACACAGGUCUGGGGA